GUGGAUUUACUAGGAAGGUGGGACGUUGGAGGGGUGGCCGCAUGGAGUGAGUACUGUCUCUGGCCACCGAGCAGAGCCAGUGACAGCAGCGUCCUGGUAGGCAGGCAGGCGUAUCAGGUUUCAGAGGAUGCGGCUGGGAACGGGAGUAGAGGUGAGGGGUCGUUGCAUCUGUCGCGGUGUGUAUCUUUUGGGGGUUCAGCGCCACCAGCGACUUGGGCCUCAUUCAUCGCGCUUACAUUUCUCCACCUCAUUUGAAGAACGAGCUUCGUAGCCCACGGAGCUGAGGUAUAUGAGCUCCCUGAAAGCACAAAGCAGUUAUUUCCAUCUUCAGAUCAUUCAGAGAUUAUGAAGGCACAAACCCUGCCUUCAAUUUGCUUAUAGUCAAGUGGAGCAGACACAAGUCAAUGAUUGCAGUAUAGCCACUGAAGUAAUCUAAAAGAGGUGGGGAGGCCACAGCUUAUGUGAAUGACUUUCUCAGGAGUUAUAAAGUGAUACAGACUUAUCAGCAGGUUGCAGGUGAACAUGGCCUUGAGAUGUUUUCUUCUAAAUAAAUGAGAAAGAUGUUUCAACAAAGGCUCUUUAUGCUGAAUAAUUGUGAUGCUUGAAGUUGCUAAUCUGCUUUAAGUGGAUUUUAAAUGUCAGGCAAUUCUAGACAGUUUUUUCUUGGUCAAAUAAAAAUUUAAUUAAAACUUUAAAAAAAAAAA
RNAcentral lists this long non-coding RNA (704 nucleotides) under Homo sapiens (human). RNAcentral's name for it is "small nucleolar RNA host gene 21, transcript variant 2 (SNHG21)". The record is from RNAcentral. Lineage: Eukaryota; Metazoa; Chordata; Mammalia; Primates; Hominidae.